Molecule: ribosomal RNA, 425 nt
Filed under: uncultured bacterium
Lineage: Bacteria
Description: bacterial SSU rRNA
Rfam family: Bacterial small subunit ribosomal RNA
Source: RNAcentral
GUGGGGAAUCUUGCGCAAUGGGCGAAAGCCUGACGCAGCCAUGCCGCGUGAAUGAUGAAGGUCUUAGGAUUGUAAAAUUCUUUCACCGGGGACGAUAAUGACGGUACCCGGAGAAGAAGCUCCGGCUAACUUCGUGCCAGCAGCCGCGGUAAUACGAAGGGGGCUAGCGUUGCUCGGAAUUACUGGGCGUAAAGGGCGCGUAGGCGGACAGCUUAGUCAGAGGUGAAAGCCCAGGGCUCAACCUUGGAAUUGCCUUUGAUACUGGCUGUCUUGAGUUUGGGAGAGGUGAGUGGAACUCCGAGUGUAGAGGUGAAAUUCGUAGAUAUUCGGAAGAACACCAGUGGCGAAGGCGACAUACUGGUCCAUUACUGACGCUGAGGCUCGAAAGCGUGGGGAGCAAACAGGAUUAGAUACCCUGGUAGUCC